CUGGGCAUUGGACAUGGGGGCACCCUGAUCCAGCAUGCCGCGUGUGUGAAGAAGGCCUUCGGGUUGUAAAGCACUUUAGGCGGGGAAGAAGGUAUGGAGUUUAAUAGACACUAUAUUUGACGGUACCCGCAGAAUAAGCACCGGCUAACUCUGUGCCAGCAGCCGCGGUAAUA
Molecule: ribosomal RNA, 173 nt
Filed under: uncultured bacterium
Lineage: Bacteria
Description: partial 16S ribosomal RNA
Rfam family: Bacterial small subunit ribosomal RNA
Source: RNAcentral